This 195-nucleotide ribosomal RNA is filed under the name Triticum aestivum (bread wheat). RNAcentral's name for it is "partial small subunit ribosomal RNA". The record is from RNAcentral. Lineage: Eukaryota; Viridiplantae; Streptophyta; Magnoliopsida; Poales; Poaceae.
AUGGAUCUCCAGCUUUUCUUCUCUCAGUUUUACCAGAAUCAGUUAGAUUUCAAGGGCAUAAAUGUGGCUCACAUUUCUCUCCUACCCAAAAAGGAUACACUGCUCGAGCUAAAGGAUUUCCGACCGAUCUCUAUCGUUCACAGUUUGCCAAAGCUUGCCAGCAAAGUGCUCACUUGAAGGCUUCAAGUUCACAUC